Molecule: transfer RNA, 69 nt
Filed under: Ictidomys tridecemlineatus (thirteen-lined ground squirrel)
Lineage: Eukaryota; Metazoa; Chordata; Mammalia; Rodentia; Sciuridae
Description: Spermophilus tridecemlineatus (thirteen-lined ground squirrel) tRNA
Rfam family: tRNA
About the family: Transfer RNA (tRNA) molecules are approximately 80 nucleotides in length. Their secondary structure includes four short double-helical elements and three loops (D, anti-codon, and T loops).
Source: Rfam by way of RNAcentral
GGGGCUGUAGUUCAGUGAUAGAGCGCUUGCCUACCAUGCAUGAGGCACUGGAUUCGAUCCUCAGCACCA